GAAAAUUUGAAAUUGUCACAAUCUGCAAAAAUUAAUCUUUGAUAAAGAGAUUGCAUAUUUAUAUUCGUAACUCUGCUCCCAAAGAAGAGGUUAUGAUAUCAUAUAAAGCAUAUGUAUAAAAGAAAGAAAAAUAUUUAUGCUCAUAAUUCUGCUUCCAAAGGAGGUGUUGUGAUGUCAUAUAAGAUAUAUUUUUCUAAGUUUGGUGUGGUAAUUUCUGAUGUGGUAUUUUAUUGAUAAAA
Molecule: long non-coding RNA, 239 nt
Filed under: Ananas comosus (pineapple)
Lineage: Eukaryota; Viridiplantae; Streptophyta; Magnoliopsida; Poales; Bromeliaceae
Description: long non-coding RNA (ACOM_LNC010079)
Source: RNAcentral